GACGAACCGUCCGCACGUUCUUCGGAAUUAUUGGGCUUAAAGGGGGCGUAGUCGGCGCUGUAAGUCAGGUGUGAAAUCCCACGGCUCAACCGUGGAAUGGCGCCCGAUACUGCAGUGCUCGAGGGAGACAGAGGUAAGCGGAACUGAUGGUGGAGCGGUGAAAUGCGUUGAUAUCAUCAGGAACACCAGUGGCGAAAGCGGCUUACUGGGUCUCUUCUGACGCUGAGGCAAGAAAGCUAGGGUAGCGAACGGG
Molecule: ribosomal RNA, 253 nt
Filed under: uncultured bacterium
Lineage: Bacteria
Description: partial 16S ribosomal RNA
Rfam family: Bacterial small subunit ribosomal RNA
Source: RNAcentral